Molecule: long non-coding RNA, 495 nt
Organism: Hyaena hyaena (striped hyena)
Lineage: Eukaryota; Metazoa; Chordata; Mammalia; Carnivora; Hyaenidae
Exons: 3
Source: RefSeq, a predicted model, not a curated record
AGGCCAGAAGCUGAAAUGAGUCUUACGUGGCUGAAAUCAAGAUGUGAGCAGGGCUGAUUCCCUUUGGAGGCUCCAGAGGAGAAUCUGUUUCUUGCAUUGUCCAGCUUCAGGCAUUUAUAGAAGACCCAAUGUGUGUAUGACAUUGUGCAUGGAACCACGGAUGUAGAGAUGAACACAGUCAGACUGCUGCCUCAUAACUCAGGAAUUAAAGAAAUCUCCACACGCCCCAGCUGUGCUCAAGAGGGGUUCACCCUUCUCUCCUGACCCCUGGAACCUCAGCCACCUGGUCCUGUCCUGCCAGCAGAAAAUAGUGGCCAGCUGGGGGCGCCAGCGAUGAGCAACGGAGACAGUAAGUUCAAGUUCAAGGCAUCUUGAGGCAGAGGAGUCUGCUUUGAGCAGCCAUAAAGGGAGGCUGGAGACCCUGGGAGCAGCCUGCAUUAGGACAGAGGUAAGAGUAGACUGGCUGGGUCAGGCUGAAAGCAGAGAGGGAGAUGG